Molecule: ribosomal RNA, 111 nt
Filed under: Caerostris darwini
Lineage: Eukaryota; Metazoa; Arthropoda; Arachnida; Araneae; Araneidae
Source: RNAcentral
GCCCUACCAUGCUGAAUAUACCGGUUCUUCUCGUUAGAUCACCGAAGUCAAGCAUCAUUGGGCGCGGUCAGUACUUGGGUGGGUGACCACCUGGGAACACCGCGUGCCGUU